Molecule: ribosomal RNA, 403 nt
Filed under: uncultured bacterium
Lineage: Bacteria
Description: bacterial SSU rRNA
Rfam family: Bacterial small subunit ribosomal RNA
Source: RNAcentral
GACGAACGCUGGCGGCGUGCCUAACACAUGCAAGUCCACGAGAAAGCGGUAGCAAUACUGCCGGUAAAGUGGCGAACGGGUGAGUAACACGUAGGUAACUUGCCCUUGGGACUGGAAUAACCUCGAGAAAUCUGGGCCAAUACCGGAUAAUGCAGCGGACCCGCAUGGGUAUGUUGUUAAAGUGGUCUUGGCUUGCCAAGUUCACACCUAAGGAUGGACCUGCGUCCCAUUAGCUAGUGGUGAGGUAACGGCUCACCAAGGCGACGAUGGGUAGCCGGCCUGAGAGGGUGUCCGGCCACACUGGGACUGAGAUACGGCCCAGACUCCUACGGGAGGCAGCAGUGAGGAAUAUUGGUCAAUGGCCGAAAGGCUGAACCAGCAACGCCGCGUGAGGGAUGAAGAU